RNAcentral lists this ribosomal RNA (253 nucleotides) under uncultured bacterium. Its description in RNAcentral is "partial 16S ribosomal RNA". It matches the Rfam family "Bacterial small subunit ribosomal RNA", at positions 524 to 776 of the family's 1533-position model. The record is from RNAcentral.
GACGGAGGAUGCAAGUGUUAUCCGGAAUCACUGGGCGUAAAGCGUCUGUAGGUGGUUUAAUAAGUCAACUGUUAAAUCUUGAGGCUCAACUUCAAAAAUCGCAGUCGAAACUAUUAGACUAGAGUAUAGUAGGGGUAAAGGGAAUUUCCAGUGGAGCGGUGAAAUGCGUAGAGAUUGGAAAGAACACCAAUGGCGAAAGCACUUUACUGGGCUAUCACUGACACUGAGAGACGAAGCUAGGGUAGCAAAUGGG